AUUGAACGCUGGCGGCAGGCCUAACACAUGCAAAUCGAGCGGAUGAAGGGAGCUUGCUCCUGGAUUCAGCGGCGGACGGGUGAGUAAUGCCUAGGAAUCUGCCUGGUAGUGGGGGAUAACGUCCGGAAACGGGCGCUAAUACCGCAUACGUCCUGAGGGAGAAAGUGGGGGAUCUUCGGACCUCACGCUAUCAGAUGAGCCUAGGUCGGAUUAGCUAGUUGGUGGGGUAAAGGCCUACCAAGGCGACGAUCCGUAACUGGUCUGAGAGGAUGAUCAGUCACACUGGAACUGAGACACGGUCCGGACUCCUACGGGAGGCAGCAGUGGGGAAUAUUGGACAAUGGGCGAAAGCCUGAUCCAGCCAUGCCGUGUGUGUGAAGAAGGUCUUCGGAUUGUAAAGCACUUUAAGUUGGGAGGAAGGGCAGUAAGUUAAUACCUUGCUGUUUUGACGUUACCAACAGAAUAAGCACCGGCUAACUUCGUG
Molecule: ribosomal RNA, 484 nt
Filed under: uncultured bacterium
Lineage: Bacteria
Description: partial 16S ribosomal RNA
Rfam family: Bacterial small subunit ribosomal RNA
Source: RNAcentral